This is a long non-coding RNA of Megalobrama amblycephala (Wuchang bream), 2333 nucleotides long. RefSeq lists it as uncharacterized. The transcript is spliced from 3 exons. NCBI's taxonomy places the organism in Eukaryota, Metazoa, Chordata, Actinopteri, Cypriniformes, Xenocyprididae. The record is from RefSeq and is a predicted model, not a curated record.
GUAAAUUGUUCUCCAUCACAUACCUGUGGGAUCACCUCAUUUAACUGUAAUGGCCUCAUCAUUUUAAACAAUGUUAUGUUAUUACUGUGGCAAACUGUGUUUGUCAUUACAACUGACAUACCACUAGGUGGAGAUGUUGUAGUCUCUAAACCAUGACAGGCAAAAUAUAAUAUUCCAGUGGUUGGAAAAUUAAAAGAUAGACAGCUGAUUCUGUAUAUUUCAGCUACUAAAUAAUUUGUCAUCUUCCUAUUAGGUUUCCUGUGCUGCUGUUUUCAGUAAGGCACUUUAAAAAAUGUUCUAGGCUUCUUUCUUUUACAAAUAAUUCCUCUAUACAGCCCACUGUAUUCACUGAAUUACGCAAUCAGAUGUCUCUUUAUUCAACUGUAUAAAGCACACAUGGUAAUGACAAAAAAAAAUGUUGAUUUUGGACCAGAGAAUCAUGGGAAGUUAAGUGCUCUGAGUGCUGUGAGUCAGGGCUGAGAGGAGAAAUAAAACAAACACAGCCCUUUAGGUUUAAACCUGCUUCACUGGACAUGUAUAUCACAGCACUAAAACUGCCAAAAAUGUAUCAUCUUAAGUCUCUGCAAGCCUAUUAUCUGACGCUACAGAACAAUGAACUAGGAUGAAAUGGAGUUAUCACCUAAGGGCUGAUAUGUGUGGGAGAGAAAGCAAGAGCUUUCUGGAAGGAAGGCGGGGAGGAGAUGCCCUGGAAAUCAGUUUGGGAACACUGGUUGCUGGAGGAGGAGGCAGCGAGUUAUAUUAAAGUAGAGCAUACACAGAUAUUCUGUGUUCUGUGUUAGAGGUCAAAGUUUUAAAUGGCUGUAUUCUGUUGGAUUUCCAGAGAUCUUUGUGGAUUUAGAUAUAGUUUGGAGUAAAGCUCUACAGAAGCAGUGGAUUCAUGAAUUUAGUCAUGAACUGAGUAAAUAAUUCAACUGUUUGGAGCUCUACAGUAUUGAUAUUUCAGAGGUUUUUGAUUCAGUGUCUGUUUAAACAUCAUGUUGAGAUGAUUGAGAUGGGUUUAGAAAAUGUAAAAAAAAAUCAUUUUAAAAAAUGUUAUAGAUUAGUGAAUCGUGUAUAGUUUAAUUUAAUACAGGCAGAUUCAUACUGAAUGUUAUCAAUUACCCAAUAUCUGAGGUCACUGUUCUUCUAUUGUUUUUCCUCUCUGCAGCCUCUCUGUUCUCUCCUCUCCUACUUGAGCCUCUUUGACUUAUCUGGAGCAUGUAUGAAGGAUCCCAGCAGGACACCAGUGAGAUGUAUCAGAAAAGAUUCUGGGUCAUGUUUGCAUUUUCUUCUACCAACGGCCAUAAUUCUAACCUUGAAAUCAGGACUUGGCAUCAUGUCUUUGUGGCAGUUGGUGAUAAUACAAGACUUCUUCACCUUAAUGGUUUUCUAAAGCAAAAAUGCUAUGAAAUAUACAUCAAAGUGUGAUGUAUAAGAGCAAAACAGGCACUAUUUUUGGAAUCAGCACCCUAAAAUUAUCUCCUUAUAUGAGCACCAAAACAGAAGGUUUUCCACUGAGCAAGAUGCUGUGGCUUCUAUGGAGGAUACACGUUUGCAUUUUUUAUGAUUUGAGACCCAAUUAGAAGCCAAUUCCACCUCUAUUAUCUCUGAAGCCAGUAUCACAUGAUCUGCGUCUGUCAUCCAGCUGCCUCCAGAAUGCUGAACAGACUAACAUCCAGCGAUGGAUUCCUGUUUGAACUGGUCAGCUGGUGUACAGGCCCCUCUCCCUGCCUUAAAGCCUCAUUGUUCCCAGGGAAAGUGUUCUUGUGCUAGAACCGGCUGUGCCAGAUCCUCUCCAAACACAACAUGCGACUCUGUGGGGCUCCGGGAAAACCAACUGAAAUGCUGAAAAUCUCUGAGCGGUUACAUAUCACAGUUUGUAAAAGAACAAAUUCUUGUGAAGUCUUAUUUGAUUAAUGCUUAAUUAAGCGUGAACUCUCAGUUGGUUUGGCUUGUUAUACAAGAACCAUUUCACAAUAAAGAAUAAUAUAUCCCAAAAUCGUUAAAAAAAAGUUAAAAAAAAGUUCUUAAAAUCUAUUCUUUGUUGAUUUUUUGUUAACUAGUCUAAAAUGUUAUGUGGUAUACACAUCAAGUAAAAAUGCCUUUAGUUAAACCUUGAUUUUUUCUUUCCCCCCAAACAAAAAAGUUUUUAAUAAAAAGUAAAACAUCUUUGUUGUUGAAUGUCAUUCUUUUAAUUCUUUUUUCUUCAUUGAUAUCAGAACAGUUGUGUCAUCCUGACAUUUUUGGCUAUUACAAAAAUUAUUCAGAAAUUAAAUUAAUUGUAUGAAUUACAAUUUUAAAAUGUAAAAUAAAUAGAAAGAAAAAAAGCAUGG